GUAGGGAAUAUUGGACAAUGGGCGAAAGCCUGAUCCAGCCAUGCCGCGUGAUAGAUGAAGGCCCUCUGGGUUGUAAAUAUCUUUUAUCUGGGAAGAAACUCCUCUAUUCUUAGAGGCCUGAUGGUACCAGAGGAAUAAGCACCGGCUAACUCCGUGCCAGCAGCCGCGGUAAUACGGAGGGUGCAAGCGUUAUCCGGAUUCACUGGGUUUAAAGGGUGCGUAGGCGGGUUGAUAAGUCAGUGGUGAAAGCUCCGGGCUUAACUUGGAAACUGCCAUUGAUACUGUCAGUCUUGAAUGUCGUAGAGGUAAGCGGAAUGUUGCAUGUAGCGGUGAAAUGCUUAGAUAUGUUACAGAACACCAAUUGCGAAGGCAGCUUACUAUGCGAUAAUUGACGCUGAGGCACGAAAGCGUGGGGAGCAAACAGGAUUAGAAACCCUUGUAGUCC
This 445-nucleotide ribosomal RNA is filed under the name uncultured bacterium. RNAcentral describes it as "partial 16S ribosomal RNA". It matches the Rfam family "Bacterial small subunit ribosomal RNA", at positions 354 to 796 of the family's 1533-position model. The record is from RNAcentral.